Hippocampus comes (tiger tail seahorse) is the source of this 908-nucleotide long non-coding RNA. RefSeq lists it as uncharacterized. Lineage: Eukaryota; Metazoa; Chordata; Actinopteri; Syngnathiformes; Syngnathidae. The transcript is spliced from 3 exons. The record is from RefSeq and is a predicted model, not a curated record.
GCUGCGAAGAUGCAGAGCCAAUUAUAAAUAAAUCCACUCGUGCUGUCAUUGGUCGAUGUCACGCCAGGAACAAAUCGUGCAUAUAGACAUGUACAAAACGUCGGAGUCAUUCUGCAUUUUUUUCUCAAUACAGUACUUUGGAAAAAACACGAUAAAUGAAGCGCAAUAUCGGGAAGGAUCACUGGACUGGACCAGGGGCUGUCACGGUUCUGUUUUCGGUCUGGCCAGCAGGUGGCAUGAGCGGACUUUUGGGUGCACACCUGCUGCCAAUCGAUGAUUAUUAGACUCGGUAUUUCAGGACUCUUGCUGCGCACCUGUUGUCGGAGUAUUGUUUAUGCCUUGCUGCUUCCUUGCUCAUAGACCUUUUGCUAUAGACCUUGUCAUUUUUCGCUUUUGAACUCUCGUACUAUUGAUCUUCAAUAGGGUUCCGGUUCUGGACGUUCCAGAGGUACUGGGCCUUGGCGAAUGCUUGCGCCAGGGAGUGUUCCCGCGGCUACAGCCCAUGACUUCGCUGAGGUCAGCCGUCACUAUGAGAUUCAUGCUCCCUGCACGCCAGGGUUGCCGCACACCGACCAGCUGUCAGCAGUGGUUCCCACCCACGCCUGCUUCUGCAGCAGGAUGUCGAGUUGCAGCUUGGCCUGUUUCAUCAGCUCACCUAGUUGCCUCCCGAGGGUCCUCCUGGACAUGAGGUGGAACUGAGGACAGAGGUAGACAAACAUCUCCCUUGUGUCGGGGUGUUCACAAAGUCUGAGGGGGGGAAAGUGUCUCCACAAACCACCUGGGAAUUGGAAUUUGAAAACAAUUUCAUAAAUCUGCUAUUGAACAAAGACGAAUUAAAUUAGCAGCAUUAGAAAUACGUUUUUGUUCAUUUUAAAUGGAAACAUACGAAACUGAAACCUGAGAGAAAA